Molecule: ribosomal RNA, 253 nt
Filed under: uncultured bacterium
Lineage: Bacteria
Description: partial 16S ribosomal RNA
Rfam family: Bacterial small subunit ribosomal RNA
Source: RNAcentral
UACGAAGGGGGCUAGCGUUGUUCGGAUUUACUGGGCGUAAAGCGCACGUAGGCGGAUCGUUAAGUCGGGGGUGAAAUCCUGGAGCUCAACUCCAGAACUGCCUUCGAUACUGGCGAUCUUGAGUCCGGAAGAGGUGAGUGGAAUUCCUAGUGUAGAGGGUGAAAUUCGUAGAUAUUCGGAAGAACACCAGUGGCGAAGGCGGCUCACUGGACCGGUAUUGACGCUGAGGUGCGAAAGCGUGGGGAGCAACAGG